This 477-nucleotide ribosomal RNA is filed under the name uncultured anaerobic ammonium-oxidizing bacterium. Its description in RNAcentral is "bacterial SSU rRNA". It matches the Rfam family "Bacterial small subunit ribosomal RNA", at positions 365 to 832 of the family's 1533-position model. The record is from RNAcentral.
UUCGCAAUGCCCGAAAGGGUGACGAAGCGACGCCGCGUGUGGGAAGAAGGCCUUCGGGUUGUAAACCACUGUCAGGAGUUAAGAAAUGCAAGGGUGUGAAUAACACCCUUGCUUGACUAAGGCUCCAGAGGAAGCCACGGCUAACUCUGUGCCAGCAGCCGCGGUAAUACAGAGGCGGCAAGCGUUGUUCGGAAUUAUUGGGCGUAAAGAGCACGUAGGCGGCUAUGUAAGUCGGUUGUGAAAGCCUUCCGCUCAACGGGAGAACAGCAUCCGAUACUGCAUAGCUUGAGUGCGGGAGGGGAGAGUGGAACUUCUGGUGGAGCGGUGAAAUGCGUAGAUAUCAGAAGGAACGCCGGCGGCGAAAGCGGCUCUCUGGCCCAUAACUGACGCUGAGUGUGCGAAAGCUAGGGGAGCAAACGGGAUUAGAUACCCCGGUAGUCCUAGCCGUAAACGAUGGGCACUAAGUAGAGGGGUUUU